This is a long non-coding RNA of Megalobrama amblycephala (Wuchang bream), 1196 nucleotides long. RefSeq lists it as uncharacterized. The record is from RefSeq and is a predicted model, not a curated record. NCBI's taxonomy places the organism in Eukaryota, Metazoa, Chordata, Actinopteri, Cypriniformes, Xenocyprididae. The transcript is spliced from 3 exons.
GACCCAAAAACAAACAAAGAAACAAACAAAAAUGUUAGAAACACUUUCAGUCUGCAUUUCAGGCUUUGCAUUUAGAAUGCUGCGCAGUUACGUCAUUGCGCGCGCCCAAAUUCAAACGUAAUCAAAAGACCGCCAAAUUACGCGCAUUCAGGAUCGAGACCAACGGAUGAAAAUGUUUGCGCAAAGUUGGAGCAUUGUUCCAACAUAACACAUAAAAAACUUAGAUAAAAUAAUGAUGAUUUCUUGGACGGACAAGAUGACAGAUCUGUAUAUUUAACCGAGUGGAGAGGUGGACUGAAGAAAAAACCUCCAGGCAGAUGGCAUUUGUACGAGGCAAUGGCGCAUAAAGUUGCAGAGACAGUCCACCCUAGAAAAACCAACGAGGACUCAACAUCAGUCCAGUCCAAAACAUCUGAGCAAAAGAAAAUGCAGGCCAAGCUUUUUAAGAAUAAGGAAGUUGUUCUUGCGGAAGUGGAUAUUUAACUUCAUAUCUUGUUAAGUAUAAUUAUUAUUAUUUAUUAAUAAUAGUAGUAAUAGUAUUGAAAAUAUGUGAUGCAAAGCUAAAUUGUAUCAGGCCCCUAAACACUUUUUGUUAAAGCAAUCUUCUAUUUAUUAAUAUAACUUUAAUAUUGAUUCAUGUUUGCCUUUCCUCACAGCUUGAAAUUCACCCAGGCUCAGGAAUUUGUGUUGUGGUCAUGCAAACAGCCUCACUGCUAUGGCAUGGAUGCUUCUUCUUGGAGUAUUUUGGCACUUUUGCUAAAGCGCAAUCUCAGAGGUGGCAAGUCUAAAAAAGCAAGCCCUGGGGAAACAAAGGAGGCCUUGGACAGAAAAAAAAAUUGAUGCAAUAAUGAGUAUGUAUAUAUUUUUUUAAUUGGGCUCAUUUUUUAAAACUGUUGAACCAAAUGUGACAGUAAAACCAUGAGAAUUUAUCAGUGUCAUCUUGGUGUAACAGUGUGAUGACACUUAGGCCUAAUCCAAUUUCUACCCCUACCCCUUCACGUUCACAUGAAGGGGUAGGGGUGUCUCGAUUCUCUUUUGGCUGGAGUGGUAGAGGUAAGGGAAAGGGCCAGAUAGCCCUUCAAACAAAGAUCUUUCGGGACCACACUUUGAACAAAGGGGUAUGAGAAAUUUCCCUGCAUACACAAACUACCGUUUCAUGGUAUUGAUAUUUCCACACAGUAUCGAUUACUUGUGUG